CAAUAGCGUAUAUUAAAGUUGUUGCGGUUAAAAAGCUCGUCGUUGGAUUUCUGUUGAGGUCGAACAGUGCCGCCCUAUGGGUGCGCAACUGGCUCGGCUUCGGCAUCUUCUUGGAGAGCGCAUCUGCACUUAACUGUGUGGAUCGUACUUCAAGUCAGUUACUUUGAGGAAUUGUGAGUGUUUCAAGCAGGCUUACGCCGUUGAAUCCGUUAGCAUGGAAUAAUAGGUUAGGACCUCGGUUCUAUUUUGUUGGUUUUGAGAGCUGGGGCAGCGAUUGAUAGGGACGGAUGGGGGCGUCCGAACUUUACUGUCAGAGGUGAAAUUCUUAGAUCGGUCAAAGGCGAACUACUGCGAACGCAUUCGCCAAGAAUGUUUUCUUUAA
This 382-nucleotide ribosomal RNA is filed under the name uncultured eukaryote. RNAcentral's name for it is "partial 18S ribosomal RNA". It matches the Rfam family "Eukaryotic small subunit ribosomal RNA", at positions 592 to 976 of the family's 1831-position model. The record is from RNAcentral.